This 402-nucleotide unclassified non-coding RNA is filed under the name Hevea brasiliensis (rubber tree). The record is from RNAcentral. Lineage: Eukaryota; Viridiplantae; Streptophyta; Magnoliopsida; Malpighiales; Euphorbiaceae.
GAGAGAAUGAUGGCAGCGUCGUAUAAAUUUGAAAUCUACAAAGACAAAUCCGGCGAAUUCCGCUUUCGCUUCCGCGCCCCGAACGGCGAGAAGAUGUUCGCCUCGGAAGGCUAUUCCAACAAGGCGUCCGCCAAGAGCACGAUCAAGUCGAUCGUCAAGCAUGUCGCCAAGGCUGAGAUCGACGACGUCUCGAAGGCCGUGAAGGCGAAGGACAAGCCUGCGAAGAAAAAGAAGAAGUCCAGGAAGAAGUGAUUUUCAGCGAUCAUCGCAAGGAGAACCCCGGCUCAAAGCCGGGGUUUUUCAUUUGCAUCGGUCCGCGCCGAGAACCGGGAUCACGCCACGCGGACGCUUGCGCCGCUGGUCGCGUUGCGCUGGGCCUGCAACAACGCGGUGAUCUCGGCG